AACGAACGCUGGCAGCAUGCCUAACACAUGCAAGUCGAACGAGACCUUCGGGUCUAGUGGCGCACGGGUGCGUAACGCGUGGGAACCUGCCCUUAGGCUCGGAAUAACACCCCGAAAGGGGUGCUAAUACCGGAUAAUGUCUUCGGACCAAAGAUUUAUCGCCUUUGGAUGGGCCCGCGUUGGAUUAGCUAGUUGGUAGGGUAAAAGCCUACCAAGGCGACGAUCCAUAGCUGGUCUGAGAGGAUGAUCAGCCACACUGGGACUGAGACACGGCCCAGACUCCUACGGGAAGCAGCAGUGGGGAAUAUUGGACAAUGGGCGAAAGCCUGAUCCAGCAAUGCCGCGUGAGUGAUGAAGGCCUUAGGGUUGUAAAGCUCUUUUACCCGGGAUGAUAAUGACAGUACCGGGAGAAUAAGCUCCGGCUAACUCCGUG
Molecule: ribosomal RNA, 433 nt
Filed under: uncultured bacterium
Lineage: Bacteria
Description: partial 16S ribosomal RNA
Rfam family: Bacterial small subunit ribosomal RNA
Source: RNAcentral